Olea europaea var. sylvestris is the source of this 413-nucleotide long non-coding RNA. RefSeq lists it as uncharacterized. The record is from RefSeq and is a predicted model, not a curated record. The transcript is spliced from 2 exons. NCBI's taxonomy places the organism in Eukaryota, Viridiplantae, Streptophyta, Magnoliopsida, Lamiales, Oleaceae.
AAAAAAUGGCCACUGCAUCAGCUAGUAGAGGAGCACAAACCUUCAACUGCAUGCAUUUCAAGCCAAUAUUGAGGAAAGCCUACCAUCGAAAGAGUGGUCCGCCGGACAUGAUGAGUGACAAGGUCAAAUUGAACGGGGAGGAGACGAAGAAUAAAAGUAUCGCUAUACAACAUGAUCCUACUUGGUGGAUUCCAGAUGAUCGAACUGGAAUUUAUUAUCCUAAGGGUCAUGAGAAGGUGAUACAAGACGUUCCUCAAACAUCGAUAGAAGAUUUUGGAGCCAUUAAUUGGUUUUCAAAUCAUGAGGAUUGUAUUUAAUGAGUUAUUCUUGAACCGACUUAAUAUGUUGGUACUACGUUAUUUGUCUCCAUUUAUCUUUUACUUAAAUAUAUGAAAUUUAAUUGUGUCGUAUUC